This 164-nucleotide unclassified non-coding RNA is filed under the name uncultured fungus. RNAcentral's name for it is "sequence contains ITS1, 5.8S rRNA gene". The record is from RNAcentral. Lineage: Eukaryota; Fungi.
GAAAUCACCGGCCUAGCCGGUAUAAAAUUCUAUCCACCUUGUGUGCAAACAAUGGAAAAAAGAGAGAAAAAUGGAUACUUUUGUAUCCAACUUCUCUAAAAUUCUUUAUAAACUCCAUCAAAUUUUGAAUGAAAACAAUUUUUUUUUUAAUAAAAAAUAUUAUA